RNAcentral lists this transfer RNA (64 nucleotides) under Cavia porcellus (domestic guinea pig). It matches the Rfam family "tRNA". From Rfam's summary of the family: Transfer RNA (tRNA) molecules are approximately 80 nucleotides in length. Their secondary structure includes four short double-helical elements and three loops (D, anti-codon, and T loops). Further hydrogen bonds mediate the characteristic L-shaped molecular structure. tRNAs have two regions of fundamental functional importance: the anti-codon, which is responsible for specific mRNA codon recognition, and the 3' end, to which the tRNAs corresponding amino acid is attached (by aminoacyl-tRNA synthetases). tRNAs cope with the degeneracy of the genetic code in two manners: having more than one tRNA (with a specific anti-codon) for a particular amino acid; and 'wobble' base-pairing, i.e. permitting non-standard base-pairing at the 3rd anti-codon position. The record is from Rfam by way of RNAcentral. Lineage: Eukaryota; Metazoa; Chordata; Mammalia; Rodentia; Caviidae.
GGGGAUUUAGUUUAGUGGUAUAAGUGCCUGCCUGGCAAGCAUGAGGUCAUGAGUUUAAUCCCUG